This 289-nucleotide long non-coding RNA is filed under the name Elaeis guineensis (African oil palm). Its description in RNAcentral is "long non-coding RNA (EGUI_LNC039912)". Lineage: Eukaryota; Viridiplantae; Streptophyta; Magnoliopsida; Arecales; Arecaceae. The record is from RNAcentral.
CUCAUAUUCAUACAUAUAUAUAAUUGUAAAUCUGAUUCGAAACAAAUCAUAUAUAACUCAACAGUCUUAACAAUGACUACACUUAUCUCUGUGACAGGGCUCAGAAUAGAGUGUCAAUAUAUAAUUCUCAUUGACAGGAUCCUAAAAUCAAUACACAACCCUCAUUGGUAGGAUCUAAAAAUCAAUACACAACCUCCAUUAGCAGAGUCCAACAACCAAUAUAUCAUGCUCAAUGGUAGGGUCCAAAAAUCAAUGCAUAACCCCUAUUGACAGGGUUUAGGGCAUAGUU